This 565-nucleotide ribosomal RNA is filed under the name Bifidobacterium longum subsp. infantis. Its description in RNAcentral is "bacterial SSU rRNA". It matches the Rfam family "Bacterial small subunit ribosomal RNA", at positions 147 to 720 of the family's 1533-position model. Lineage: Bacteria; Bacillati; Actinomycetota; Actinomycetes; Bifidobacteriales; Bifidobacteriaceae. The record is from RNAcentral.
CUCCUGGAAACGGGUGGUAAUGCCGGAUGCUCCAGUUGAUCGCAUGGUCUUCUGGGAAAGCUUUCGCGGUAUGGGAUGGGGUCGCGUCCUAUCAGCUUGACGGCGGGGUAACGGCCCACCGUGGCUUCGACGGGUAGCCGGCCUGAGAGGGCGACCGGCCACAUUGGGACUGAGAUACGGCCCAGACUCCUACGGGAGGCAGCAGUGGGGAAUAUUGCACAAUGGGCGCAAGCCUGAUGCAGCGACGCCGCGUGAGGGAUGGAGGCCUUCGGGUUGUAAACCUCUUUUAUCGGGGAGCAAGCGAGAGUGAGUUUACCCGUUGAAUAAGCACCGGCUAACUACGUGCCAGCAGCCGCGGUAAUACGUAGGGUGCAAGCGUUAUCCGGAAUUAUUGGGCGUAAAGGGCUCGUAGGCGGUUCGUCGCGUCCGGUGUGAAAGUCCAUCGCUUAACGGUGGAUCCGCGCCGGGUACGGGCGGGCUUGAGUGCGGUAGGGGAGACUGGAAUUCCCGGUGUAACGGUGGAAUGUGUAGAUAUCGAAAAAGAACACCAACCCGCUUUGGGAAA